AUGGCUCAGGAUGAACGCUGGCGGCGUGCUUAACACAUGCAAGUCGAACGGAAAGCCCCUUCGGGGGAAUUCGAGUGGCGAACGGGUGAGUAACACGUGGGCAAUCCUGCCCCCUGGUCACCGGGAUAACUCAGGGAAACUUGAGCUAAUACCGGAUACUCCGUAGAGAUCGCAUGGUCUCAUCGGGAAAGCUCCGACGGACAGGGAUGAGCCCGCGGCCCAUUAGCUUGUUGGUAGGGUAAUGGCCUACCAAGGCGACGAUGGGUAGCCGAGCUGAGAGGCUGAUCGGCCACACUGGGACUGAGACACGGCCCAGACUCCUACGGGAGGCAGCAGUGGGGAAUUUUGCGCAAUGGGCGAAAGCCUGAACCGCAGCAACGCCGCGUGCGGGACGAAGGCCUUCGGGUUGUAAACCGCUUUCAGCAGGGAUGAAACUGACAGUACCUGCAGAAGAAGCCCCGGCUAACUACGUGCCAGCCGCCGC
Molecule: ribosomal RNA, 484 nt
Filed under: uncultured bacterium
Lineage: Bacteria
Description: bacterial SSU rRNA
Rfam family: Bacterial small subunit ribosomal RNA
Source: RNAcentral